ACAGCCUUGGUCCUGGGCUUACCGUUGUUUUUCUUUAAGAUUAUACAUGCAAGCCUCCGCACACCAGUGAGAAUGCCCAUAACCCCCAGACAGGUAAACCGGAGCAGACAUCAGGCACAACUUCAAGCCCAUGACGUCUUGUCCACCCCACACCCCCACGGGCUACAGCAGUAAUUAACAUUGGGCAAUAAAUGAAAAUUUGACCCAGCUAUGAAGACAAGGGCCGGUUAAUUUCGUGCCAGCCACCGCGGUUAUACGAAAAGCCCAAAUCAACGAGUAAACGGCGUAAAUUGUGACUAGAUACUCCUUAUAUUAAAAAUAUUAAAACUCUUGAAACGAGCUGUAAAAUGCUUACAUUAAGAAGAAUAACAACACAAAUAUUUUUAAUUUUUAAGACAUUGAUCACACGAAAGCUUAGAAACAAACUAGGAUUAGAUACCCUACUAUGCUAAGCCCUUAACAUUGAUAGCCAUCCCACCACACUAUCCGCCAGAGAAUUACUAGUGAAAAACUUAAAACUCAAAGGACUUGGCGGUGUCCCAUUUCGGCCUAGAGGAGCCUGUCCUAUAAUCGACACCCCCCGUUCCACCCAACCUCCACUUGCACAUUCAGCCUAUAUACCGCCGUCGACAGUCUACCCCAUGAGGGCCUUUUAGUAGACACAAUAGCAAUAACUCGCUAGUACGUCAGGUCAAGGUGUAGCAAAUGUUGAGGCAGAGAUUGGCUACAUUUUUUGUUUCAAAACAAACGAAAUGCAACAUGAAACAUUGCACGAAGGUGAAUUUAGCAGUAAAAUGAACAAGAGAGUUCGUUUUAACACCGCUCUGGGACGCGCACACACCGCCCGUCACCCUCCUCAUACUUCAUUUAAACCCAUAAAUAAUAUCACAAAAUAAACUCAGAGGAGGUAAGUCGUAACAUGGUAAGCGUACCGGAAGGUGCGCUUGGACUA
This 952-nucleotide non-coding RNA is filed under the name Acanthodactylus boskianus (Bosk's fringe-fingered lizard). RNAcentral describes it as "12S ribosomal RNA". It matches the Rfam family "Bacterial small subunit ribosomal RNA". Lineage: Eukaryota; Metazoa; Chordata; Lepidosauria; Squamata; Lacertidae. The record is from RNAcentral.